Molecule: ribosomal RNA, 374 nt
Filed under: uncultured organism
Description: partial 16S ribosomal RNA
Rfam family: Bacterial small subunit ribosomal RNA
Source: RNAcentral
GUAGGUGGCAAGCGUUGUCCGGAAUUAUUGGGCGUAAAGCGCGCGCAGGCGGUCCUUUAAGUCUGAUGUGAAAGCCCACGGCUCAACCGUGGAGGGUCAUUGGAAACUGGGGGACUUGAGUACAGAAGAGGAAAGCGGAAUUCCAAGUGUAGCGGUGAAAUGCGUAGAGAUUUGGAGGAACACCAGUGGCGAAGGCGGCUUUCUGGUCUGUAACUGCCGCUGAGGCGCGAAAGCGUGGGGAGCAAACAGGAUUAGAUACCCUGGUAGUCCACGCCGUAAACGAUGAGUGCUAAGUGUUAGGGGGUUUCCCGCCCCCCUUAGUGCUGCAGCUAACGCAUUAAGCACUCCGCCUGGGGAGUACGGCCGCAAGGCUG